This 277-nucleotide long non-coding RNA is filed under the name Micromonas commoda. RNAcentral describes it as "long non-coding RNA (MCOM_LNC000182)". Lineage: Eukaryota; Viridiplantae; Chlorophyta; Mamiellophyceae; Mamiellales; Mamiellaceae. The record is from RNAcentral.
GGAUGACGUUGCGGCGGAGUCGCGUCACCAGGUUGGUCGUCUUGUCCGCCCUGAAAGCAGCCUCGUGGGCCUCCUGCACGGCGCGGAACUUCUCGAGGUCGCCGAGCCUGACCGCGCCGGUGAGCUCGAGGUACGGGAGGAGCGCCCUCUGCGCCGCCGCGCCGCCGGAAACCGCGGUGGUCAGGUCCUUCUUCUCCGGGAUCUCGCCGAGCAAGAGCCUGACGACGGUGAUCCACUUGGUGAGCUCCAGGGCGAACCCCUUGGCGAGCUUGGGCGC